This 827-nucleotide ribosomal RNA is filed under the name uncultured Acinetobacter sp. Its description in RNAcentral is "bacterial SSU rRNA". It matches the Rfam family "Bacterial small subunit ribosomal RNA", at positions 56 to 881 of the family's 1533-position model. Lineage: Bacteria; Pseudomonadati; Pseudomonadota; Gammaproteobacteria; Moraxellales; Moraxellaceae. The record is from RNAcentral.
UGCAGUCGAGCGGAGAGAGGUAGCUUGCUACUGAUCUUAGCGGCGGACGGGUGAGUAAUGCUUAUGAAUCUGCCUAUUAGUGGGGGACAACAUUUCGAAAGGAAUGCUAAUACCGCAGACGUCCUACGGGAGAAAGCAGGGGAUCUUCGGACCUUGCGCUAAUAGAUGAGCCUAAGUCGGAUUACCUAGUUGGUGGGGUAAAGGCCUACCAAGGCGACCAUCUGUAGCGGGUCUGAGAGGAUGAUCCGCCACACUGGGACUGAGACACGGCCCAAACUCCUACGGGAGGCAGCAGUGGGGAAUAUUGGACAAUGGGCGCAAGCCUGAUCCAGCCAUGCCGCGUGUGUGAAGAAGGCCUUAUGGUUGUAAAGCACUUUAAGCGAGGAGGAGGCUACUUUAGUUAAUACCUAGAGAUAGUGGACGUUACUCGCAGAAUAAGCACCGGCUAACUCUGUGCCAGCAGCCGCGGUAAUACAGAGGGUGCAAGCGUUAAUCGGAUUUACUGGGCGUAAAGCGCGCGUAGGCGGCUAAUUAAGUCAAAUGUGAAAUCCCCGAGCUUAACUUGGGAAUUGCAUUCGAUACUGGUUAGCUAGAGUGUGGGAGAGGAUGGUAGAAUUCCAGGUGUAGCGGUGAAAUGCGUAGAGAUCUGGAGGAAUACCGAUGGCGAACGCAGCCAUCUGGCCUAACACUGACGCUGAGGUGCGAAAGCAUGGGGAGCAACAGGAUUAGAUACCCUGGUAGUCCAUGCCGUAACGAUGUCUACUAGCCGUUGGGGCCUUUGAGCUUUAGUGGCGCAGCUAACGCGAUAAGUAGACCGCCUGGGGAGU